AACGCACAUUGCGCCCACUGGUAUUCCGGUGGGCAUGCCUGUUCGAGCGUCAUUAUCCUCCCUCAAGCCCUCGUGUUUGGUGUUGGGCCGCGUUGGUGUCACAGCCAACUGGUCUCAAAGACAAUGACGGCGUCCGUGGGACCCUCUUCGCAACGAGCAUCUUCGGAAGCACGCGUCGAGUCUAAAGGACCUUCCGGGCCGGUCUACCCUUUAUCUUUCUAAGGUUGACCUCGGAUCAGGUAGGAAUACCCGCUGAACUUAA
Molecule: unclassified non-coding RNA, 262 nt
Filed under: uncultured Chaetothyriales
Lineage: Eukaryota; Fungi; Ascomycota; Eurotiomycetes; Chaetothyriales
Description: sequence contains 5.8S rRNA gene, ITS2, 28S rRNA gene
Rfam family: 5.8S ribosomal RNA (bases 1-52)
Source: RNAcentral